CUUCAGCCGCUCAUUGACAAGAUCGUGGCAAGACUGGCGGGCUGGAAAUUCAAGAUGCUUGCUGCUGCAGGGCACCUGGUGCUGCUCAACUCCGUGCUCUCGGCCUUUACGGUCUAUUGGAUGUUUGUACACGAGCUGCCGGUGUGGGUACGUCGACAGAUCGACAAGAUCAGGCGCGCCUGGCUUUGGAAGGGCCAGGAUUUCUGUCAUGGCGGGCAAUGCAAGGUGGCAUUGGGACGCAUCUGUUGACCGCGCGAGCUCGGUGGCCUCGGCAUUUUGGACCUACAACAUUUUGGACUGGCAUUGAGAUUGCACUGGCUAUGGCUAGAGCGUGUGGCGACGUCAAGGCCAUGAAUCGGGCUGCCUGUCCCGUGCUCCACACCCGAGCGGCCGCUCUUCGCGGCUGCCACCACCGUGACUGUCCAUGAUGGCAAAGCAGCGAGCUUUUGGUUUGACAGCUGGCUGCUUGGGGAGGCCCCAAUCACCAUCGCGUCGGGCAUGUUCAUGCUCUCUCGGUGCAAAAGGCGAUCGGUCCAGGAUGCACUAUGGGACGGGAGGUGGGUAAAGGACGUGUAG
RNAcentral lists this ribosomal RNA (576 nucleotides) under Triticum aestivum (bread wheat). Its description in RNAcentral is "partial small subunit ribosomal RNA". Lineage: Eukaryota; Viridiplantae; Streptophyta; Magnoliopsida; Poales; Poaceae. The record is from RNAcentral.